This 1619-nucleotide long non-coding RNA is filed under the name Equus asinus (donkey). Its description in RNAcentral is "lncRNA (ENSEASG00005036193.1)". The record is from RNAcentral. Lineage: Eukaryota; Metazoa; Chordata; Mammalia; Perissodactyla; Equidae.
CUUAAAGUCUAGUGAGAGAGACAACGUUAUUAGUGUAACAAUAAUUAUACACAUUAUUUUGCUGUGUAAUAUUGCUGCCUAAACAUUACAGUUAGAUUAAAUAAGAUAAUUUAUAAAAUCCCAACAACUAAUGAACAUGGGUGGUCAUUUUCCCAAAGCCACGCACACGUCAUAAUUUAAUUAUACUGAUGAAAACGACACUGGCAAAGAACAGGGUGAUGAGAGAAUAUAGUGGCCGCCUAUCCUAGCCCGUACGGUCUGAAGAAAGCUUUCCUGAGAAAGUGACUUUUAGAAUAAAACUUAAAGAAUGAAUAAAAGUUGGCCAGGGGAAGGGGAAGUAAAGAUGAAGAACAGAAUGUGGCCCAGGCAGAGAGAACAGGACAAACAAAGGCCCUGGGGCCUUUGAAACUAGUCCCAGUGGAUUUGUGAACUCUUUCAGAGAUGCUCCAUGCUGGUCCCCUUAUACUUUUCAAAGAAAGAAAGUUCAAGAUGCUUCCAACUUCCCACGUUUAUAUGCUAUCAGCUUAUUCCCAGCUCCCCCUGCUUUCCCCAUCUCCCCUACUCUCAGCUCUCUGGCCAUGACACUCAGUCAUAGCCCGCAUGGCGUAGUGGCGUCCUCUGACCCUGGGCAGCAGAGCGUUGGUAGAAGUCCUAUGUGUCUAGACAAAAGAUUGGUUAGUCUUUUCGAAAGCGAGUGUUCCAGGUCUGACUCAACCUGACUGAGAGCCAAGAAAGAGAUGAUAAGGCUGAUGGAAAAGAUCUCCUUAAUGAAUGGCAAUAAAAAACAGCCCAAAGGUGAAGGCAUGCAAUGGCCUUGGCGUUUCCUGCGGCUGCGGCCCCAGACAGGCUCUUGAAAGCGCUCAAGGAUAAGAGGUCCAGUGAUAUCUCUGCUUUAUUUACUGCCUCUGGACCCCAGAAUCUGUGCUCCUGCAAUAAGAAACAGCUCAAUCAAUGGAGGCAUCUGCUAUGAUUCCCCAUGGCAUCCUGAUACGUUUUGAAAGCAAGAUUUUUUUCCACUUAGUAUCCAGGAGGGCAACUCAGAUCCUUAAAGGAGCUCCUGAUUUUCACCCACGGGCUGGGAAUUCGAUGCACGCCCCGAAGAUUCUAAAAGGGAUUAGACCAGAACUUGGGCUCAAGUUCUUGUCUAGGGCAGGUGGAGUGCCGUCCCUCCAUCGUUGCCCUGCAAUGAUGUACUGUGGAAUCUUCCACAGUUACCACUAGACAUGUGGACACUGCAGAGGUCUGUGGGCUACUAGCCUAUUUGCAACACUGCCCACACCUUAUGUCCUUCUCUGGGUCUCCAGAUUCCUGAGACAGAAAGAAUUUUUUGCUCCAUAAAAACAGGCGGCUGAGCUACAUGAAAAAGCACUGGACCUGGGCUCAGGAAAUCGGCUUAGAGUCUCCUUGCUGCCACUUGUCAUUUGGAUGGAUGUAAUUUCUCUGAGACUCAAAUUUCUCACAGGCGAAAUGGUGAUAAUUCUACUUUGGCUCUGAGGAGCGAAGGAUAUCGUUGAAAGGUGGUUGUACUUCAUUCACUCCUCUUAAAUGGCUUAGGACAGACAGCCUUCAGGAGAUGCUCUGAAUUUAAAAACCACCUCGGAUGAUAGGCCUUCCUUGAC